AUUGAACGCUGGCGGCAGGCCUAACACAUGCAAGUCGAGCGGAUGAAGGCUGCUUGCUCCUGGAUCCAGCGUCGGACGGGUGAGUAAUGCCUAGGAAUCUGCCUGGUAGUGGGGGAUAAUGUCCGGAAACGGGCGCUAAUAACGCCUACGACCUGCGGGAGAAAGUGGGGGAGCUUUGGACCUCACGCUAUCAGAUGAGCCUAGGUCGGAUUAGCUAGUUUGUGGGGUAAGGGCCUACCUAGGCGAGAAUCGGUAACUGGUCGGAUAGAAUGGUUGGUCACACUGGAGCUGAGACACGGUCCUUACGCCUACGGUAGGCAGCAGAGGGCAAUGGUGGGCAAUGGGCGGAAGCCUGAUCCAGCCAGGCGACGUGUGUGGAGAAGGUCUUCGGAGUGUAAAGCACUUUAACGGGGUAGGAACGGCAUUAGGUUAAGACCUAGCGUUUUUGACGUUACCAACAGAAGAAGCACCGGCUAACUUCGUG
RNAcentral lists this ribosomal RNA (484 nucleotides) under uncultured bacterium. RNAcentral describes it as "partial 16S ribosomal RNA". It matches the Rfam family "Bacterial small subunit ribosomal RNA", at positions 30 to 507 of the family's 1533-position model. The record is from RNAcentral.